CUCGCUCAGAGUGUCACUAUCCUAAGCCUUAGAGGCCUGGAGGCAGACAGACAGGAGUUCCGGUCCUUCAUUGUGGUUUCCAGCCAAGCUUCAAAGACACUUUCUGCUACUCUCGGGUUCCAGAAUGAGGAAAACCUGGUUGCCACAUGUUCAGUUUGCCUAUAAUACAUAGGCCCUAAAUGCCAAGUUUACUGUGUGUCUGGCAGUUGAUAGUGACAAAAGACCAACACAUGAUUCUUGGGCUGUCUAAUUAUCAGACUGCUGGAGGAAGAAAGAACUUCUGUUCUGAAGGCAGAAAAACCACUUUGAUGAGAGGUUGGAGGUAAUAGCUACAUCAGAGAGAGUGAAACACACCACCAGAAAAGGGUCACAACAGUCAAAGCCUAACAUCAAACCCCGGAAGUUAUUGGCCCUGACCUCCUGACCUGAUCGUAGGCUGGUCUUUACCCAGGCCUUUUCUGAGGUAAUACCAAAUCAAGUCUGGGAGUCAGGACCCAGCUACUACUCACUCCCCACACAGGAUUUCUGUUCUGAAGCCUGUGCCCAGCACAGUUGUGAGGGGACCCAUCGCAUCCCCAGGAAUCCUGGUACCAGUCUCCCUUCCCCUGCUUCUCCAGCUGAGUUCAAUAUGCAAUGAAAACAACUUGUAAAGAUGGUGCUGCACUACAGAAAGGUCAUGGAGGUGGUCAGGUAUCUGUCUGCAAGGUAUUAAGCACUCUAAUCCUUUUAAACUAGCAUCAGUCUAAACCACAAUCAUAGAAGGACACC
RNAcentral lists this long non-coding RNA (768 nucleotides) under Cricetulus griseus (Chinese hamster). RNAcentral's name for it is "lncRNA (ENSCGRG00015033816.1)". Lineage: Eukaryota; Metazoa; Chordata; Mammalia; Rodentia; Cricetidae. The record is from RNAcentral.